This 493-nucleotide ribosomal RNA is filed under the name uncultured bacterium. RNAcentral describes it as "partial 16S ribosomal RNA". It matches the Rfam family "Bacterial small subunit ribosomal RNA", at positions 29 to 523 of the family's 1533-position model. The record is from RNAcentral.
AUUGAACGCUGGCGGCAUGCUUUACACAUGCAAGUCGAACGGUAACAGGUUAAGCUGACGAGUGGCGAACGGGUGAGUAAUGCAUCGGAACGUGCCCGGUCGUGGGGGAUAACGCAGCGAAAGCUGCGCUAAUACCGCAUACGAUCUAAGGAUGAAAGCGGGGGACCGUAAGGCCUCGCGCGAUCGGAGCGGCCGAUGUCAGAUUAGGUAGUUGGUGGGGUAAAGGCUCACCAAGCCAACGAUCCGUAGCUGGUCUGAGAGGACGACCAGCCACACUGGGACUGAGACACGGCCCAGACUCCUACGGGAGGCAGCAGUGGGGAAUUUUGGACAAUGAGCGAAGGCCUGAUCCAGCAAUGCCGCGUGCAGGAAGAAGGCCUUCGGGUUGUAAACUGCUUUUGUACGGAGCGAAAAGGUCUCCUCUAAUACAGGGGGCUCAUGACGGUACCGUAAGAAUAAGCACCGGCUAACUACGUGCCAGCCGCCGCCGUAA